This is an RNA transcript of Chelonia mydas (Green sea turtle), 3459 nucleotides long. RefSeq lists it as uncharacterized. The transcript has 4 exons. NCBI's taxonomy places the organism in Eukaryota, Metazoa, Chordata, Testudines, Cheloniidae. The record is from RefSeq and is a predicted model, not a curated record.
UAGGUUGGUUGGCCGCGCUGACCUUGCAGCUGGUCUUCUUGGCGAGGGGGAGAGGAGGAAGAACCCAGCCUGAGGAGCUCAGCCUGCCUGCUUCCCCCCCACCCCACAACAAGUGGGGGGGGGCUACCCCGCGCAUCCUACAGUGCCCCAGGCCAGAAGGAGAAUGCAGGAGUCUCAAGGGGAAAGCUACUCCAGCUAUGUCCAUUCCAACAGCAGCCCAGGCUUGGAAAGUUCUUCAUGCCAGUCCAGGAUGUGCGGUGGAAAUGAUAGUCUACUUAGACGCCACUGCAGUUAUCAAGAUGUUGAGUAAGUGAAUCACAUUUGCACUUCUCAGGAAAUUGCUUUGGUCAGUCCAUGCUGUGGGAAAAUACAUCUUCGGGGUUUUCAGUUCCAGGUUUUAAGAGAGUCCUGACUAACACAGACAUGCCCAGACACAGUGACUUCAGCUGGGGUAUCCAUGAGUGCCAUCCCUUCUACACCUGCAAGACUCACCAUGGUAAGGAAGAAAAAAGUGGACAGCAGAAGACAUGUUUGCAGAACUGCUCAAGACUUCCAAUUCCGGAGUCUGAGACACUUGAGAAUGGAGCGACCAUAGGCUGGAGGAAACACAGAAGGACCAAGAGGUAUACCAAGACAUCACGCACCUCCUCCCACAACAAAGAUGCUCCAAAACAUUAUGGAGCAGAACAUCAGAAGGACUACAUCCCAGCAGCCACUCCACAGCAUGGACAACAAUUCCUUUUUCCAGGGAGUAGGGCCAUGCACACACACACCCCCGCUCCCCCUAUCGGCUUCUUUAGGGCACCAGCAUUCUCAGCAGCAGCAUCCCUUCCACUAUACCCCAGUGAGCAAUAAGGAAAACUGUUCUGAAUACACCUACACUGACCUGUGAUGCAGCCCAGAGAGAUCAGUAGUUAUUACUGAGAAGUUAUUAUUAUAUAAUAAAGUUCAAUUUUGUGAAAACCAUGAUUUCCUUUGUCUUACAAUACAGAGAUUUAACCCCCCAAAUCAGCAGCCCCCUUCAUCCAUGAACAAUUCAUAAACCAGCUAACUACUGUAUGUGCAAUAAAGUAACACUGUCUGGCUAUAGCAAACUCUCAGAAUGUGCUCUUUAGGCUUUGCUCAACUGCACAGCAGCGUGGUGGGCUCUAGUAACUGGCUUUGUGUCACACUGCAUGAAAUCAGAAAACAGCCUGUCCACCUCCACCCUAGUGGAGACAUUUCUCUUCUGGCCUUGCAGAUGUUAUGCAAAACACAACAUGCAGCAAUGACAGUAAGAAUAUUUGGCUUGCUGAGAUUGGUAUCCACCAGCCCUUUGGUAUGCCAUUGGCAUACUCCAUGGUCAUCCUGCACCUUCUCAGGAGACAGUUAAAUCUUUCAUUGUUGCAGUCCAGGUUCCUGAUGUAUGGCUUCAUGAGCCAUGGAAGGGUAGGUUGGGUCCCUGAUAAUAUCAACCCCACCAAACUGAAUAUGCUGUUCUGGGAAAUGUGUCCCUGCUUGCAGCUUUUCCAAAAGUCUGUAUUCCUAAAGAUGUGAGCAUCAUACACCUUUCUUGACCAUCCAAUGCUAAUGUCAGUAAGAUAUCAAGGGUGAUCCUCCAAUGCUUGCAUAACUAUGGGAAAAUAUCCCUUUUCUCUUUAUGUAUAUGGAGGCAAGGUGGGGAGGGGAAGGAUCAUCCAUUUAAUUGAAUACAUCUAUUUCCCUCAAGUUGCCAGAGUCACAAUCCUGUGCAGCAGGACAUGCUGAAUGCCCUGGCACACCUGGAUGAUAGCCACCUCAAUAUAGAUUUCCCCCCACACCAAACUGCCCAUCAGCCAACAAUAUUUGUUUGAUUUGCAGCUGUUAUCUCCGCUGUCAUUCGUUCAUUCAUUCGUUAUGUCUAGGUACUCCUCACUAUUCAGUUUCCCUAAUGCAUGGCUGGCUGCUGUGGCAUUGCUACAGUUCCAUAAAAAGGAAACAAUCAAUUACCCUGUCUCUGCACCAGGCAACAGAACUCUGCCGAUCUGUUCAGCAUCCAGGCUUCUGAUGCUGAAUUAGCAGAGAGAUUGAAAACCAGCACAAAAAAGUAAAUUAUGGGAUGGACCAGAGGAUACUAUCGGAAUUAAAAGAGGGUGGGGGAGCACCAAAAGAGGAGGUAGAUCAUAGCAUGGGACAGAAGGAAGUGUGGAAAUUUGAUCCCAAACUCCACAAUUCCUGAGAAGAGUGCUGAUGCCCCACAGUAUCCUUCCACAUUUUUCCACAAGAUAAUGUGCUGGAUGGCGGUGCAGGGGACACUGGGAACACUACCCACAGUGCUGCAUGUCUUUUGCCUAUACAACCUGAGACUGUAUGAGGACACAAUGCACCAACAAAGGCAGCCAAGAUUCAACACACUGUGCCAAAAUAGCUAUUCUGGUAGCUGUAUGCCAACAAAACUUUUGCCAGUAAAACUUUCUAGUGUAGACAAACCCUUAGUAAUCCCAUUUUUACAAUAGCCUUACCAUAAUGACACAAUAAUGUUAUUCUCAUACAAUGUUAAAAAUUGAAUGUAAAAUAGUUUAUCGUAGCUGACCUAUUAGUCAGUACGGUACUUACCACAGUUUACUACGUAAUCUCAGGAACCAGGAAUCCAAUGUCUUAGCUACUGGAGGCUGGGCAUUACAUAAGGCAUAUCCACUUCUGUGAUUCUAUUAUCUGUUCCACUUAACACACUGCCUGAUCAUGUAGCUCUUGGGGAGUUUAAAUUCUCAAACAUGGCAAGGAGGAUAGAGUAUGCAGCAAAUACUCAUGAAGGGCUAAACAUUAAUCUGGGCCAAUGUCUAACUCGGAGAAUAGAUGAUGGGAAACAAAAGAAGAAACUGAUAUUCUACUGUUUCAUUUGCAAUCUACUGAAAAUAAAUUAUGACUCCAAACUAUUUUGAAGAGUUAAUUUGAAAAGAUUUUGUUUUCCUGAAGACUGGAAGCUAGCAAAAACCAGCUACAAGAUCAUCAUCUACUGUGCAAAUUUACCCACCCACCUCUGCUAACGCCCCUAAAAUGGUGAUCUGCAGCCACUUUGUCACUCCAGCUGGCUUUUCUGUGCAGACACUGGAAUGUGUGUUUAACGGGAACAUUUCACGCAUCUUCAAUGUUUCGGUUGUAUGGAUUAAGUUGAUCCACUAAACAUGUUCUUAUAAUCUAUUCUGAUUUCCCCAUGUCUCUAGAAACUAAAGCACCCUAACAAACCACAUUUGUCAGAAUCUUCAUCCACUGUUUAGUAAAACAACUUGUAUGACACAGAACAUACAAAAAACUGCCACUUAACUCAAAUUGAAGACAUUUCAAAAGAUCUAUGUGCUAAAAUAAAUAGUUCAUCUGUUAAAAUUUAUAGAUCAUUUCCGUUUCCUCCCCCCUCUUCACCCCCAAGGGCUGUUCCUAAUGGCCUUAUAUAAAAAACAAAACCCUGAAACUCUUUAAAAAAAAAAAAAAAUCAGUACUAUU